AGUGAACGCUGGCGGUAGGCCUAACACAUGCAAGUCGAACGGCAGCACAGUAAGAGCUUGCUCUUACGGGUGGCGAGUGGCGGACGGGUGAGGAAUACAUCGGAAUCUACUUUUUCGUGGGGGAUAACGUAGGGAAACUUACGCUAAUACCGCAUACGACCUACGGGUGAAAGCAGGGGAUCUUCGGACCUUGUGCGAUUGAAUGAGCCGAUGUCGGAUUAGCUAGUUGGCGGGGUAAAGGCCCACCAAGGCGACGAUCCGUAGCUGGUCUGAGAGGAUGAUCGGCCACACUGGAACUGAGACACGGUCCAGACUCCUACGGGAGGGAGCAGUGGGGAAUAUUGGACAAUGGGCGCAAGCCUGAUCCAGCCAUACCGCGUGGGUGAAGAAGGCCUUCGGGUUGCAAAGCCCUUUUGUUGGGAAAGAAAAGCAGCAGGUUAAUACCCCGCUGUUCUGACGGUACCCAAAGAAUGAGCACCGGCUAACUUCGUG
RNAcentral lists this ribosomal RNA (492 nucleotides) under uncultured bacterium. RNAcentral describes it as "partial 16S ribosomal RNA". It matches the Rfam family "Bacterial small subunit ribosomal RNA", at positions 29 to 507 of the family's 1533-position model. The record is from RNAcentral.